This 374-nucleotide ribosomal RNA is filed under the name uncultured organism. Its description in RNAcentral is "partial 16S ribosomal RNA". It matches the Rfam family "Bacterial small subunit ribosomal RNA", at positions 527 to 896 of the family's 1533-position model. The record is from RNAcentral.
GUAGGUGGCAAGCGUUGUCCGGAAUUAUUGGGCGUAAAGCGCGCGCAGGCGGUCCUUUAAGUCUGAUGUGAAAGCCCACGGCUCAACCGUGGAGGGUCAUUGGAAACUGGGGGACUUGAGUACAGAAGAGGAAAGCGGAAUUCCGAGUGUAGCGGUGAAAUGCGUAGAGAUUUGGAGGAACACCAGUGGCGAAGGCGGCUUUCUGGUCUGUAACUGACGCUGAGGCGCGAAAGCGUGGGGAGCAAACAGGGAUUAGAUACCCUGGUAGUCCACGCCGUAAACGAUGAGUGCUAAGUGUUAGGGGGUUUCCCGCCCCUUAGUGCUGCAGCUAACGCAUUAAGCACUCCGCCUGGGGAGUACGGCCCGCAAGGCUG